This 160-nucleotide ribosomal RNA is filed under the name uncultured bacterium. RNAcentral's name for it is "partial 16S rRNA". It matches the Rfam family "Bacterial small subunit ribosomal RNA", at positions 356 to 507 of the family's 1533-position model. The record is from RNAcentral.
AGGGAAUCUUCCGCAAUGGACGAAAGUCUGACGGAGCAACGCCGCGUGAGCGAAGAAGGUCUUCGGAUCGUAAAGCUCUGUUGUCAGGGAAGAACAAGUGCCGUUCGAACAGGGCGGUACCUUGACGGUACCUGACGAGGAAGCCACGGCUAACUACGUG